Pelobates cultripes (western spadefoot toad) is the source of this 307-nucleotide non-coding RNA. The record is from the annotation of a GenBank genome assembly. NCBI's taxonomy places the organism in Eukaryota, Metazoa, Chordata, Amphibia, Anura, Pelobatidae.
CCGGUUCUAAAAUCAUAGCACUGAGGAAACGUGCCACGGCACACAGUUUGGGAACCGCUGGUCUAUACACAAAAAUUGAUUUAUUAAGUUGAUGUUGUUUUGGUGACUAUAGUGGCCCUUAAAAGGACAUUUUUUUUCUUAACCCCUUAAGGACGGCGGGUAUUCUAUGCUGUCCUUCUUGAAUCAGUCCUAAGCACCGGCGGGUGGCAUAGAAUGUCCCCGCCGUCCUUCAUACUUACCCGGUCCCUGCCGAUCCCACACCUGGGUCGCGAUCCUAGGGUCUGCCUGAUAGCUCAGUUCCCCUCAU